GUCGAGCGGAGAUAGUGGAGCUUGCUCCAUUAUCUUAGCGGCGGACGGGUGAGUAACACGUGGGCAACCUGCCCUGCAGAUCGGGAUAACUCCGGGAAACCGGUGCUAAUACCGAAUAGUUUGCGGCCUCUCAUGAGGCUGCACGGAAAGACGGUUUCGGCUGUCACUGCAGGAUGGGCCCGCGGCGCAUUAGCUAGUUGGUGAGGUAACGGCUCACCAAGGCCACGAUGCGUAGCCGACCUGAGAGGGUGAUCGGCCACACUGGGACUGAGACACGGCCCAGACUCCUACGGGAGGCAGCAGUAGGGAAUCUUCCGCAAUGGACGAAAGUCUGACGGAGCAACGCCGCGUGAGUGAAGAAGGUUUUCGGAUCGUAAAACUCUGUUGUGAGGGAAGAACAAGUACCAACUAACUACUGGUACCUUGACGGUACCUCACCAGAAAGCCACGGCUAACUACGUGCCAGCAGCCGCGGUAAUACGUAGGUGGCAAGCGUUGUCCGGAAUUAUUGGGCGUA
This 517-nucleotide ribosomal RNA is filed under the name marine sediment bacterium ISA-3145. RNAcentral describes it as "bacterial SSU rRNA". It matches the Rfam family "Bacterial small subunit ribosomal RNA", at positions 61 to 562 of the family's 1533-position model. The record is from RNAcentral.